Molecule: long non-coding RNA, 1067 nt
Organism: Hordeum vulgare subsp. vulgare (domesticated barley)
Lineage: Eukaryota; Viridiplantae; Streptophyta; Magnoliopsida; Poales; Poaceae
Exons: 3
Source: RefSeq, a predicted model, not a curated record
CUGCGCGUCGCGAACCGGAUGCCUCCUCAUCGUCCUCCCUGUGGUACCUUCAGGGAAGUCGGUGAUAGUGUCACGAAGGCAAAGAUGGAGUUCAUGGUGCAGGAGGAGUGCUCGGAAAAAUGGUGGCAGUGGCAGUGGGGAACCUCCAGGCCUCUAGGUACUCUCCAUCCAGCAGCAUGCCACGACGCGGCACUAGGUGGUGGGGGCCGAGCUCACCCGGGUCGAGACCAUACGACUGCACAUCCAGCCACCCAAGAUCUCGAUCCCGAUCUUCACGCUGCUGCUGGGCAUGACCUGGAGGAGAUCAUCAUCAAAUAGGAGGAAAUGAAUAGACGACAACAUCUCUGAACUUGUAUAUUAUGAACUAGCAAGUUCAUCCAUCCACCCCUCCUCUGUUUGCUAGGCUUCUACAUACAUAAUUUUCUUCUUUCGUCAUAGUUUAAUAUAAGAAUGGAAUCGACUAAUAGACACACCAACAUGCGUAGUAAUGGGUUCAGUGCCACUGCUACUCUCAUGGUCGCUGCCUCGCCUCCCUGGUAUUCCUCCUCUCUCCUCUCCUGCCUUGACGACAUCUAUUGUGUCCCCAGGCCUCAGCCCCACAUCACCAGCAUCUCCGCCUCAAGUACUCCUGUCAAUGCACCCUGCGGCUCGACACCAUGAUAGUACCCAGCAAGGGAUCGAGUGAAGAAACUGGACUGGGAUCAUGGAGUAAAUCAAACGAGGAUGCAAGUAUGCAACUCAUGUUCGUGUAGGUAGUCAUUCAGACAUUUCUUAACUCUAUGGCAAAUAGUUCACAUGGUAGAGCCAGCUGUGGUGGAGAGGCUAGAUAGUUUUAGUAUUCAGACUUUCAGUUGCUGCUAGCUCUUCUUUGCUCUACCGGAAUGGAUGUGUUUUUGUCCACAUAAAAUUCUAACAUGAAUUUUCUAUUUAGCUAGCAAAUCCAAUAAUUUAUGUACUGUAUUUGCAUUUUGUAGUCAUACUUUCUAUUGGAAUUUGACUUAUAAUGGUUUUUACCGUAAAAAAAGGAGCCAGCUAGCUCUUGUGUCGUCUCAUUUGCUUGUCUCCUA